Molecule: long non-coding RNA, 505 nt
Organism: Heterocephalus glaber (naked mole-rat)
Lineage: Eukaryota; Metazoa; Chordata; Mammalia; Rodentia; Bathyergidae
Source: RefSeq, a predicted model, not a curated record
GCCAGAGUGCAGCCUGGGUGUGCGCAGCACUCAGAAGCGAUUUCAGGAUGUUUUCUGAGAGAGAGAAAGGUGUUUGUUCACUGAGGUGACUCUCACCCGCCUGGAUCACUUGUGUCCAUUCUGAAAUGCCGGAAAAGACUCGGGCCUGUUGAUGUCAGCCCUGCUGAGCACAUUGCCAGGGUGGAUCAGGUUGUGCUUGAUCAUUCGAGGUGGGGCUGGGCAGAGAAUCCUGAUUUGUCUCGAACCUCAGAGGAAAAAGAGUGCUUCAAACCCCAGACCCCCUGUCUAGCUGCAGGAGAGACAAGCAUGCCUGAGUUUGGCCUGGUAAGAGGUACAGUGUGGCCAGAGCCCAGAAGGGUUUCUACUUCCUCCCUGCUUUGAUGAGGUCCGAUGGGGGAUUUGAAGAGACACAUCGGAGUGUCCGGGUGGCUGUCCUUUCAUACUGAAGUUACACAGGUAAGAAUGAGAGCACAGGAAGCAGCCUCCACAGUGGCAGGAAAGCAGC